This is a long non-coding RNA of Cyprinus carpio carpio, 965 nucleotides long. The record is from Ensembl. Lineage: Eukaryota; Metazoa; Chordata; Actinopteri; Cypriniformes; Cyprinidae.
CAUCAACUCACUGAACUAAGAAAACAAAGCUCGGUCCGGCGACGAGUGCCAGUUGAUAGUUAGCGCGGAUUAUUUUGAGGAUUUUAACGAUGGGUAUUCAUGGCCUCCCCCCUGCUGGAUGAGCCACAUUUGGAUGUGCUGUAAAACCAGGGGAAGCUAUAGAAGAAGAUGUAUGGCCACUAAACCCCAAGUGCGUGAUGGUUAUGCUCCUUCAUGCAGCAUUUGUUCUUGGAGCAGCUGAAACCUGCCAUAUUUCAUACUGGCACAUGUGACGAGAUGUUUACUGCAAGCAAACUCAAGCAAAGGUCACUUUCUUCCCCUUUACUGCCAAGAGCUGUCACACGCCACAUUCCUGCGCAAACAUCCCAUGCAGAAAAAAAAAAAAAUACAGCACAGCUCGGUGUCCAGUAGACAACGCCUGUGGAUUGUUUCUAUUUAUUAUGCAAAUGUUAAAACAUAUCACUAAUUGGUUUUAUGCAUGAGUGGCAUCUUUGAAGCAAAUGUCUGGCUGCUGGUUGACACGCACAUAUUUAACAUAAUGGGUUUUCCUAUUGCCGUCUGUCUGUGCAAUCGGUAUAUUGGAUGGAGACUAAAUACACAGGACAUUCAUUUUAACAAGAAGUUAUAUUGUGACUGGCUUGCUAUGGUAUAUGGUAGGCUAUAGGUUAUACUUUGUAUGAGGGAUGAUACCAAUAGUUUUAUACAGUUUUACAGGCAACAUAACAUUAUGAUUGAACCUUAAUUGACAACAUCAGUUCAUAUAUCAAUCCUUAUGAAUAGAGAAGCAUUAAAUGAAAAAUAUCACUUAAAGGGCUUGUUAAACUGUAAUUCAUGGUAAAAAAAAAUAACGCUUGUAGUAGUGAGUGAAAUAUACAACGUAUGCAUGUAUGUUAAAUAUUGAUAAUAAGAUCAGCAAACGUGUCAUGAAUGAGAACAUGUAUGCUUUACUCUCUCAGACACUCCAG